GUGCAAAGGCAGAGGCUGUGGGAGCAGCAUCAAGCAAGACUUCGGGCAGUGAUUCUAACUAUUGCCUAUGAACACCGUGGCUGGGACGACUUUGACGAGGCAAUUUAUUACUUACGCAUAGAACACUGGCUGUGCUGAAACUGGGAGCGCAAACAGCCCCUUGUUUUCUAAUUUAGAGACUUGCAUCUUUUCGACACUCAACAGUAUCAAGACACUCUGCUACUACAGAUUGAUUUCCACCAUCAACACCUUUACCUCUUCCCGCCUGAAAAUAAAAUAUGAAAUAUAACAAGUAAAUCGCAAUCUACCUUGAAUCUUCUGGAGAGGAAAGAAGAAACCAUGUCUAGACAAGGUGCUGGAAAGACCCAGGGAAGACACAGAUGGGAUCAUCCAGUUGCUGGAAAACAAACUCAGGUCUCCCACUGGUUCUACAUUAUGAUACCCAGUAGUGGAAUUGCUGGAUCAAAUGAUAGUUCAACUUUUACUUCUUUGAGAUAUCUUCAAACUGUUUUUCAUAGAGGUUGUACUAAUUUACAUUUCCACCAACAGUGUGAAACGGCCCCUCUUUGUUUCACUCUUGGCUCUAUGGAAAUGGUCUUUGUAUGAAAUCUGGAAUCCAUUCCCAGUAUAAAGGCAAGCUGACUGGCACCAAGUCUAUGAAGCUGAACAUUUAUUCAGUAUACUUAGCCAAAACAACUCACUUAUCAGGGAAAAACAAUCAUCUGGGACUGCAAAUUGGUUUUCCAUGUUGAUUAUAGUGACAUUAAGUAGAAAUGACUUCAGUUUCCAUGUUUAAUUGUUAUCUAGUCCCCUCCUGAUCAUAAGUAGAAAUUAUACCAACUCUUAUUCAAAUAUCAAGAAAAAGCUUUUUAGAAAUUAUUAAAGGAAGUGUCUACAAGUACACAAGUAUAUACAAUCAAAAAAGACAAAAAAUUACAUUUGGACAUUGCUAUUUGACCUAUUUUCUUCAUCUAAAUGGUACCCAAUAGAAAAAUGUAAAUUUAUGCUUCAAGAUAAUAUGGAGGGCU
This 1028-nucleotide long non-coding RNA is filed under the name Homo sapiens (human). Its description in RNAcentral is "long intergenic non-protein coding RNA 3000". Lineage: Eukaryota; Metazoa; Chordata; Mammalia; Primates; Hominidae. The record is from RNAcentral.